UACGUAGGGCGCAAGCGUUAUCCGGGAUUAUUGGGCGUAAAGAGCUCGUAGGCGGUUUGUCGCGUCUGCCGUGAAAGUCCGGGGCUCAACUCCGGAUCUGCGGUGGGUACGGGCAGACUAGAGUGAUGUAGGGGAGACUGGAAUUCCUGGUGUAGCGGUGAAAUGCGCAGAUAUCAGGAGGAACACCGGUGGCGAAGGCGGGUCUCUGGGCCGAUACUGACGCUGAGGAGCGAAAGCGUGGGGAGCGAACAGG
RNAcentral lists this ribosomal RNA (253 nucleotides) under uncultured bacterium. RNAcentral's name for it is "partial 16S ribosomal RNA". It matches the Rfam family "Bacterial small subunit ribosomal RNA", at positions 524 to 776 of the family's 1533-position model. The record is from RNAcentral.